RNAcentral lists this ribosomal RNA (595 nucleotides) under uncultured bacterium. Its description in RNAcentral is "bacterial SSU rRNA". It matches the Rfam family "Bacterial small subunit ribosomal RNA", at positions 271 to 862 of the family's 1533-position model. The record is from RNAcentral.
AGGCGACGACGGGUAGCCGGCCUGAGAGGGUGUCCGGCCACACUGGGACUGAGAUACGGCCCAGACUCCUACGGGAGGCAGCAGUGGGGAAUAUUGCACAAUGGGCGCAAGCCUGAUGCAGCGACGCCGCGUGGGGGAUGACGGCCUUCGGGUUGUAAACCUCUUUCACCAUCGGCGAAGCCGGAUGCUUUUGUGUCUGGUGACGGUAGGUGGAGAAGAAGCACCGGCCAACUACGUGCCAGCAGCCGCGGUAAUACGUAGGGUGCGAGCGUUGUCCGGAAUUACUGGGCGUAAAGAGCUCGUAGGUGGUUUGUCGCGUUGUCCGUGAAAUUCCCUGGCUUAACUGGGGGCGUGCGGGCGAUACGGGCAGACUGGAGUACUGCAGGGGAGACUGGAAUUCCUGGUGUAGCGGUGGAAUGCGCAGAUAUCAGGAGGAACACCGGUGGCGAAGGCGGGUCUCUGGGCAGUAACUGACGCUGAGGAGCGAAAGCGUGGGGAGCGAACAGGAUUAGAUACCCUGGUAGUCCACGCCGUAAACGGUGGGUACUAGGUGUGGGUUUCCUUCCUUGGGAUCCGUGCCGUAGCUAACGCAUUA